This 396-nucleotide ribosomal RNA is filed under the name uncultured bacterium. RNAcentral's name for it is "partial 16S ribosomal RNA". It matches the Rfam family "Bacterial small subunit ribosomal RNA", at positions 361 to 774 of the family's 1533-position model. The record is from RNAcentral.
AUCUUGCGCCAUGGGCGAAAGCCUGACGCAGCCAUGCCGCGUGAAUGAUGAAGGUCUUNGGAUUGNANAAUUCUUUCACCGGGGANGAUAAUGACGGUACCCGGAGAAGAAGCCCCGGCUAACUUCGUGCCAGCAGCCGCGGUAAUACGAAGGUGGCUAGCGUUGCUCGGAAUUACUGGGCGUAAAGGGCGCGUAGGCGGACAUUUAAGUCAGGGGUGAAAUCCCAGAGCUUGACUCUGGAACUGCCUUUGAGACUGGGUGUCUUGAGUGUGAGAGAGGUGUGUGGAACUCCGAGUGUAGAGGUGAAAUUCGUAGAUAUUCGGAAGAACACCAGUGGCAAAGGCGACAUACUGGCUCAUUACUGACGCUGAGGCGCGAAAGCGUGGGGAGCAAACA